UGGAAACCAGGACAGCAAAAACAAACUUGGCAGAAAGCUCACACAGCUCAGUCUCAGAUUCCAGAAGACCUCCGGUUAAGAGUCAGCAGAAAGAAGACCAGAUUGCUUUGGAGAAGAGUCUUUGAAGAAAGGUGGGCCUAGAGAUGGGUCAAGGAGAGAGAGAAACAGGGAGGGUACAGCAGACAUUUGGCUAGGCCUGGAGUGGAGGUGGUGCGCAGACGAGGAUCCCUUACAAGUAAUCAAAUAUGGCUUUCAUGGAGUGUGAGUAAAUAGAGGGUUGAAAAUUUUCAAAAUGAAUGUUGUGAAAAAAAUUAUGAAAAGAAUAUGUAAUCCCUGACUUCUGGUGACUAGAAGUUUCUUUGCACUACUUCUAUAUAUUCUUCAGAAAUGGAAGACCGACGCUCAUAAAGGCCUUUACACCAGGCAUCUGGUGAUCUACGUGUUAGUCCAGGCAUUACCCCUCUAAAAACUGGAAAGAAAAGGAACAAGAGAGUCAGCUAUGGACAGGACUUCAGAUAGCAGAGGGAGAGUCUGGGAUGGCUGUUCUAUUGGCUCACUGGUCUCACUGGUGGAUGUGGGAGGUGGUUUUAAGCACAAAGAAUUAUCUAAAGACAUAAGGUGCUUAGCAGUCAAUAUAGUUACCUUUUUUAUAUUUUGCCACAUCAUUAAUUAUAACUUUUGCCUGAGAACAUAAUCCUGGUGGCUUUGAAACCUCUUGGUUUCAAAGAGCCACUUGUUACACCCUAAAGCAGGAAGUGCCAUCCUAGUAGUUUCUACUAGGGGAGACAGGUAGUGUGUGUGUGUGUGUUGGGGGGUGCACACACACAUGCGUGCACAUUUGCAUGACAUUUGAAUCAAGUGGAGACUGCGUCAAGGGAGUGGACGAAAUCACUGUUUCCUAAACUAUAAUCCUGUUUUUUAAACAAAGAUUUUGUGAUCAAAUAAGUUUAGAAACACUGUGUAUUAUAUUGUUUUUUUCAGCUUCCAAGUACAGUAGUUUAUUAAAGACUUUGUAGUAUAAGAUUUUUUAAACUUAUCAGGAUACUUAUUGAACAUUAUGCUAUAGGCACCAUUAUGCAACUAGGAGAGCAAUUUAAAACAAUCAUACAGUAAUAUUUUCUAAGAAAUUCUAUUGCUAUUCAAUGGAAAUCUGGAGACAAUUAUUCUCUCAAAAGCAGGCCUUGUACACAUUACAUUAUGUAAAGUACAGGGAGGAAUGGCCGGUAAGAGUUCUGGGAGCCACUGUGACUCUUCAGUGAAAAUGAGGCAUUUAAAAAUACUGAUAUUAAUCUAUGGGAAAGUCUGACUUU
This is a long non-coding RNA of Dama dama (fallow deer), 1310 nucleotides long. RefSeq lists it as uncharacterized. The transcript is spliced from 3 exons. The record is from RefSeq and is a predicted model, not a curated record. NCBI's taxonomy places the organism in Eukaryota, Metazoa, Chordata, Mammalia, Artiodactyla, Cervidae.